UUUUUUUUUUCCAAAUGAUAGUAAAUCACAAAAUCACAGAAUCACAGAACAAUAAGGGCUGGAAGGGACCUCUAGAGAUCAUCUAGUCCAAUUGCCCUACCAAAGCAGGCUCCCUAGACCAGGUUGCACAGGUAGGUGUCCAGACGGGUAUUGAACAUCUCCAAAGAAGGAGAAUCCGCAACCUGCUCCAGUGCUCCGUUUUAGAAUUCCACUGUUUGCAGAAAUAUUUGUAUGUAACUGUAUAUUUAUGGGUAAAUAUAGAUAUAAAUUUUGUAAUGCAUGUUACUUUUCUUCUUUUCUUGACUCUGAGAUGACAUUUUCCCUGACUGUAUUAUCAUCAUUCAACAACUCCAUUGGGUCAACAAGAAAGGUACAGAUAAUGCACAGCAAGAAGUCCAAAAGAAAGAAGAUUAAACUGUAAUGUAAUGCGAUAAAAGAAGAAGCCUAUUUGUAAUAUGAAGAAAAGAUUUCUAUCCAAUAAAUAUAUAUGAGGCACAAGAGGACUGGAAAGCCUUUUAAAAAUAAUUCAUAACUGACAUGGAAAACAAUAUAAUUUACAUAAUGUUCAGCUGUGCAUCUUUCAUUCUACC
Gallus gallus (chicken) is the source of this 590-nucleotide long non-coding RNA. NCBI's taxonomy places the organism in Eukaryota, Metazoa, Chordata, Aves, Galliformes, Phasianidae. The record is from Ensembl.